GAAAUGCGAUAAGUAAUGUGAAUUGCAGAAUUCAGUGAAUCAUCGAAUCUUUGAACGCACAUUGCGCCCACCAGUAUUCUGGCGGGCAUGCCUGUUCGAGCGUCAUUUCAACCAUCAAGCCCCCGGGCUUGUGUUGGGGACCUGCGGCUGCCGCAGGCCCCGAAAACCAGUGGCGGGCUCGCUGUCACACCGGGCGUAGUAGAUUUUUCGUCUCGCCCAGGGCGUGCUGCGGGUUCCGGCCGUUAAAAAGCCUCUCUUUUAACCCAAGGUUGACCUCGGAUCAGGUAGGAAGACCCGCUGAACUUAAGC
This 309-nucleotide unclassified non-coding RNA is filed under the name plant metagenome. RNAcentral's name for it is "partial contains 5.8S ribosomal RNA, internal transcribed spacer 2, and large subunit ribosomal RNA". The stretch from base 1 to 105 matches the Rfam family "5.8S ribosomal RNA", at positions 50 to 154 of the family's 154-position model. The record is from RNAcentral.